Molecule: long non-coding RNA, 1642 nt
Filed under: Mytilus galloprovincialis (Mediterranean mussel)
Lineage: Eukaryota; Metazoa; Mollusca; Bivalvia; Mytilida; Mytilidae
Source: RNAcentral
UGCGUAAAUUAACAUCGAUUAUACGCCAAGGUAUGACGUAAAUGUUCCUAUAAAGUGAAGAUCACAUAGUAAAAAAAUAUAAAUGUGUAAAGUAUCCUGGUUUUAUGUUUAUGCAAAAACUAAGGCUUAAAUAAUUCUAAAGUAUCCAUUGUUAAUGGUGAAUGAAUUCCCUCCAACUUGCUUCACAUAGAAAUCUUGGCACUAGAUAUUCACUCCUUUCUCUGAUCUAGAAAAAAAAUCUUUUAAUAAAACUACUUUGCAUCGAUAUGAUUAGCCAUAUUUUUACCAAUUUUUAUAAUAACACCCUUUCUUUCCUCGGACACUAACUGUCCCAGAUAUUGGUCUCCAAUGCAGAGCAAAGAGAUUUAUCGAAGCCCUAAAUAGUUUAGUACUCCAAUUCUCCAUCCAAAUCUACUAGCACUUGGUUAGUGUUCUGUUUGAUUCUAUAAGUACUCAGUCCGCCUACAUGAAUAUUCUGCAUAGCAUUCAGUCUUCAUGUCUGAAUCUUCUACUACUUGAGAAAUCCUGUCUCAUGUACUAGUAUUUAGACCACCUGUUUACAUCUUCUAGUACUCAAGUCAAUAAUUUUGCAUAAAUCGUCUAGUAUCAUGAGUAUUCAGUCUUCAUGCCUAAAUCUAUCAGUAUUCAAUCACACUGUCUACAUCUCCUAGUACUCAGUAUUUCUGCUUAAAUCUUCUUGUAAUCAGUCAUUCUGCAUACGUCUGCUUGUACUCUGUCUUACAACCUUAAUCUAGUAGUAUUCGGUCAUCUUCACUAAAUCGGAUAGUAAUCAGUAUUUAUGUCUGAAUUUUACAGUACCAAUCCUCAACUAUAAACGUCUACGAGUACUCAGUGCUACAACAUAAAUCUACUACUACUAUGACUCGAUCAAUUUGACUAUGUAUCUAUUUAAUAAAGUACUCAGUCAUGCUGUCUAAAUAAACUAUUAUACACAAGCCAAAUAGUGCUUAAAUAUACGCGCAUACUUAGUCAUUCGGUUUAAAUCUCGUAGAACCCAUCUAUGUGUAGUUCUUCUAACACUCAGUCUUCCUGUCUUAAUUUACUAGUACUCAUUUCUCCUUCCUUAUUCAUUUACUAGUAUUCAGUGGGACUUUCUUCGUACAUUUGUAGUUGACAAGAAACCUUCUGUUGAAGGUCGUUGUUUUCUCCGGGAACAAUAGCUUCCACUGCCGAUAAAAUGCUGUCACCAUGACCUACUUGACUUAAUCCACUUCGUCCCAUGGGGGACUAAGGGCGACCACAUUGGCUUUCCAUCUUUUCUUGUCUUUUGCUAGUUUCUUUGCCUCUUCCCACGUUUUCUGAAUAUUCUGUAGAUCAGAUGCCAAAUCUCUGCGCCAGACGGUUUUUGGUUGCCCUCUUUUAUGAUGGCCCUGAGGAUUUGAAUCUAACGACUGUCUAGUUACAUUUGUGUUGUUUUAUGUAGAGUGUGUCCAAUCUUUCUACAGAUGUUUGUCUUGUCCUCUAUAUUUCGUUGGUUCUUAUGAUGGUUUGGCCACUUAAUUCCAAUAAUGUUUAAGUAAACGCAGCUAUUAGUCUCCAAGUUUCUGACCCAAAGAGAGGUGUAGGUUCUACAUUUGGGUCACCAUGAUAUAGCAAAUAUCCCUGAAAGUGGUGUUAUAUA